GUUAAGUUGCUGAGGCUGGCUUUGAAUCUGUGUCUCCUGCCUCAUUCUCUCCAGUCACUGGGAUUACAGGCAUGUGCCACUGCACCCAGCAGGGUAAUGUAUUUUAAGAGAAUACUUUUAAAACUCUGUGUUAAUUUUGGGCUUACAAUUUAUCCUUGAUUCUUCUGUAACAGAAAUAUCUGCUCAAUAUCUACCUGAGCUUGAGUUUUCUUCAUUUCCUGGCUAAACUGAACUGACUUGACAUAUUGUGUUAAUAGACUCUUUUUUUUUGGUUCUCAUUCCAGGGCUAGGCAAAUCUUGGCACACUGGAGAUCUCAGGGCAUGGUUAGGAAGUGAGAAAGCCUGUGGUCCCCCUCAAGAGUACCUUUAUGAUAGAGAAUAUAAAAUAAGAAUUUAAAUAGUUCCUCACAGUCUAGUUAGGCAUGUAAACAUUUAAUAUUAUAAAAGUUUUGUAAGUGCAGGCUGGUAUAUGGUAUCUGCAUAGUUAGGCAAAUACUUCUGAGGGAAGUGGGAAUAGUUAGUGGACAAGGGAAUGUUUAGGCUUUUGUCCCUUUCACCCAUACUUAUUAAUUUGGCUAUGCCUCAGGCACUGUUAUGUACCUAAGUAAUAGCCGUGGAGAAGACAGAUAGUUCUGCAGUUAUAGAGCAGGAUUAGAAGUACUGCUCUAAAGGUGAGCACAGGAUGCUCUGGAUGCCUUGACUUGGUCCAUUGAACAAGUAGGACACCCUUGAUAGAGGAGAUGAUGCUUGAACUGUGCAUUGAAGGUUGGGUCAGCAAAGAUUUAAAGGACACAGUUGUUCUGGAUUCCAGGAACUGUGAAUAAUUCAGUAUUCUGGAGUCCAGGUUACAAGUGGUGAUAAGCCAGGAGAGGUGGAUCACAAGGGCUUUGUAAGCCAUCUGUCCUAAGAAUAGGAAAUAAAGAUGUUGAAGAGAGUGCAUAAGAUGUUCAGAUUUGCAACUCAGAAACAUGACUGCAUGUGGAAACUGGAAUAGAGACUGAUGAGAAGAAGGGCAGGAAUCUUUCAGGAGAUAAGGACUGUCAUUUAGGAUAGAAGUAGAUGGAGAUACAAAGUUUUCAUGAAUAAGGGUUGUUCCUUAGUUGGAUGUGUCAGCAGUCUGUCCAUAUCCACUGCACCAUUGUCUCUCCAAGUUUGAAACUAGCCAUUCUGUCUCCUAAGUCUUUCUCAUCAUGAAAUGCUUGUCUUUUGUUUACAGUCCCCAAAAUACACCUGAUGGUUUUAUGCCACAGUCUUUGAUCCUACCUUUAUUUUUACCUGGAAUGGAUCUCACUUCUCUUC
This 1299-nucleotide long non-coding RNA is filed under the name Marmota monax (woodchuck). The record is from RNAcentral. Lineage: Eukaryota; Metazoa; Chordata; Mammalia; Rodentia; Sciuridae.